UACGAAGGGGGCUAGCGUUGCUCGGAAUUACUGGGCGUAAAGCGCACGUAGGCGGAUAUUUAAGUCAGGGGUGAAAUCCCGGGGCUCAACCCCGGAACUGCCUUUGAUACUGCAAAUCUCGAGUCCGGAAGAGGUGAGUGGAAUUCCUAGUGUAGAGGUGAAAUUCGUAGAUAUUAGGAAGAACAUCAGUGGCGAAGGCGGCUCACUGGUCCGGUACUGACGCUGAGGUGCGAAAGCGUGGGGAGCAAACAGG
RNAcentral lists this ribosomal RNA (253 nucleotides) under uncultured bacterium. RNAcentral describes it as "partial 16S ribosomal RNA". It matches the Rfam family "Bacterial small subunit ribosomal RNA", at positions 524 to 776 of the family's 1533-position model. The record is from RNAcentral.